ACGGGCCGCAACAGCAAUAUCUGC
RNAcentral lists this non-coding RNA (24 nucleotides) under Arabidopsis thaliana (thale cress). The record is from RNAcentral. Lineage: Eukaryota; Viridiplantae; Streptophyta; Magnoliopsida; Brassicales; Brassicaceae.